UUCGCCUUCAUGAAGUCGGAAUUGCUAGUAAUGGCAGGUCAGCAUACUGCCGUGAAUACGUUCCCGGGCCUUGUACACACCGCCCGUCACACCAUGAGAGUUGGAGAUACCCGAAGCCUAUGAGCUAACUUUUAGAGGCAGUAGUCGAAGGUAGAAUCAAUGAUUGGGGUGAAGUCGUAACAAGGUAGC
RNAcentral lists this ribosomal RNA (189 nucleotides) under uncultured bacterium. RNAcentral's name for it is "partial 16S ribosomal RNA". It matches the Rfam family "Bacterial small subunit ribosomal RNA", at positions 1311 to 1500 of the family's 1533-position model. The record is from RNAcentral.